This is an RNA transcript of Neofelis nebulosa (Clouded leopard), 3598 nucleotides long. It is a transcript of the gene named guanosine monophosphate reductase, with no coding region annotated. The transcript is spliced from 10 exons. The record is from RefSeq and is a predicted model, not a curated record. NCBI's taxonomy places the organism in Eukaryota, Metazoa, Chordata, Mammalia, Carnivora, Felidae.
CCGCCCCCCCGCACCGCCCGGCGCCCGAGCUGCAGGAAGGAGCUGCCAGCUCUAGCCGGGCUUGCCUCAGCGCGCGGAUCUGCACCAUGCCCCGCAUAGAUGCAGAUCUGAAGCUGGACUUUAAGGAUGUCCUGCUCCGACCCAAGCGAAGCAGCCUCAGGAGCCGAGCCGAGGUGGAUCUUGAGCGUACCUUCACGUUUCGGAACUCGAAGCAGACCUACUCGGGGAUCCCCAUCAUUGUGGCCAACAUGGACACCGUGGGGACAUUCGAGAUGGCAGCAGUGAUGUCACAGCACUCCAUGUUUACGGCAAUUCAUAAGCACUACGCCCUGGAUGAAUGGAAGCUCUUUGCUGCUAAUCACCCAGAAUGUCUGCCGCACGUAGCCGUGAGUUCGGGCAGCGGGAAGAGCGACCUGGAAAAGAUGAGCAGCAUCUUGGAAGCCGUGCCACAGGUCAAGUUUAUCUGCCUGGACGUGGCCAAUGGGUACUCAGAACAUUUUGUGGAAUUCGUGAAGCUGGUGCGUGCCAGAUUUCCAGAACACACUAUCAUGGCCGGGAACGUGGUGACAGGGGAGAUGGUGGAAGAGCUUAUUCUUUCUGGAGCAGACAUAAUCAAAGUGGGCGUCGGACCAGGCUCUGUGUGUACCACUCGCACCAAGACCGGGGUGGGCUACCCCCAACUGAGUGCCGUGAUCGAGUGUGCGGACUCCGCCCACGGCCUGAAGGGGCACAUCAUCUCCGACGGAGGCUGCACUUGUCCAGGAGAUGUCGCCAAAGCCUUUGGGGCCGGAGCCGAUUUUGUCAUGCUGGGAGGGAUGUUUUCGGGCCACACUGAGUGUGCCGGAGAGGUGAUUGAGAAGAACGGGCAGAAACUCAAGCUCUUCUACGGGAUGAGCUCCGAAACCGCGAUGAAGAAACACGCAGGAGGGGUCGCCGAAUACAGGUGUGGUGCACGCCGUUGCAUGGAGGUCAGGCCUUUCCGGAAGGGUGCCGUGUUUCCCCUGCAGUGGGACCGUCCGCAGCCUCCACGCUCUGAUGGUUGACACAGGGGCAGCAUUUUUAGCCAUUUAAUUGUGUCGCUCACCGCAGAAGGCAGGCUGACUCCUGCCUUUUUGUUUUACAAAUUCACGAUCCCAAGAGAUAACCUGGCUAUUUUCUGUGUCGCCUCCAUUUUACGUGUCUGCAUGUGUGUUUUAAGAGCCUUAGGACAGCACAUAAUCAUUGCCUGGCCCUGUUCCAUAGAAGCUGCUAUUACUUCUCGUUGGCAUUAGCCUGAUGACAAGUCCCACUAAGCGGACAGGACAGAAGGUCUUGCGUCCAUGGAAACUCAAGCCCUCGCUGCUGGACACCCUCCAUUUCUUACGUUCAGCCCAUACUUGAAAGCUUCUCUCGAGGCUCUGGGAUGCAGAGGUGUUGUGGGAGAGUGCGAUUGAGCCAGAGGGCAGAUCCCAGAACCCCGCUGAGAUUCAUGGGCGGGCAGGUGGGAGGUGUGGGGGACUCCGCCAGAGUUCCGCGCUUCCGUGGGAUCCUGGCGGACUGAUGUCCGUUCCCAUUCUCUCCAGUCUUUUUCUCCUUUGGAAGAGGAAACUCCGUCACGAUGAUGUUGCAGCCUAGGGAAGGCAGGGUGGGGAACAGGAACAGGGGACCACGCUUCUACCAUCAUCCGGGAAACUUGGGUUAGAACAGGAGGACGCUGUCCCUCCCACGUGGUGCCCGAUGGGAGAGGUGGCAUGGCUCGUGAGGGCGGGCAGGGUGAGGAUUACUGCCUCGGUGGCACCCCGGACCUCUGGCCCAGAAGCUUCACGCUUUACCAGCAACCACCCUCCCUACCCAAGGUCCUGUGCGGUGUCUGCUGGGUGCUGGUACGUUAAGCGGAGCCAUUGUGGUUCGGCAACAGCUAGAUGCUUCGCCUGGAGUACAUUUAUUGCCCUCUAGCUGUUGCAUCCGUUUUGGGUUCCACGGAAAGUAGACAGGGAAGGGCAGACCAGGUUAUAGCACACACGGAAGCCAAGGAGCCGAAAGAAAAACCCAUCUGUAAUUUCAGCAGGGUUUAGGCAAAACGAAAAUAGAAGACUCAAGCAUAUCAAGACUGUUCUGGAAGCCGAUUAGACAAGAAAGGGAAGUGCUGAAGGAAUUAGAACCUCAAUCUGGAGGCAGCCUGGGCCCUGCGGGCUGCAUCUGUUUUUUGCCAUCUCUCUCUGUCUCUCUGCCUCCCUCCCUCUUUCUUUCUCUUUUUUUCCCUGGCAGUUUACAGUCUUCUCACAAGAAUGGUCCCCCUUUGACGUUGUAUUUAAGUAAGGUAGAGCUUGUUUAUGCCUUGCUGCUUCCUUCCCAGCCAUUAACCAUUUAGUCCUCACGCUGCCCCUGGGAGACAGAUCAAAGUACCUUCGUUUUACGGAUGAGAAGACUUGGGCUUCAGCAAUAAGUGACUUGCACGAGGUGCCAUCACCAGGUAGCAGAGAAGCAACGAUGAGAGUCUGGAUGGUUUCCAGCAAGCCCCGGGCAGGCCAUGGAAAUCUCUUGUAAAAAGCAAAAUGGCAGUCACUGUGGGCACAGGGGCAGAGAUGUUGGUCCCUGGUCACAGAGCGUGGUGAUGUGAAUCGUCUUGGGAGUGGCCAGUGACGGGCUCCGUGAGCUUGGUGCUCUGAACCAGCCCUGAGGCCAGCUUGGUCUAGUCAGUGGUUUAAGCGGGUAGAUUUCAUUGCACUUAAGGGUAGCCUUGGAUGUGUGGAUUUCAGCGCAACAAGAGUUAAUGCUGUUUUGAAAUCCUAGGUAAUGAAUUUCUGAUUGAGAGAUGCUAUCUUUUCUAGUUGAAGAGACCAGGAAAGAAGAGUCCACCGUUUGGUUAAUUGUCAGAAUUUCCAGAUUGCCCGAGCCUUAGAUGAAGGCUAGAGUUUUGCAUAGAUUGGAGAUUUCCUUCUUGUAAUGGCCCUCCAGAAGCAAGUGUGGACUGUAUGUCCAUGCAGCCUAACAGGGCUUGAGUUGUCCAUUUUGUGGAUCUUCCUUGACUUACGGGGCUAUGUCCUGAUAAACCCAUCUUAAGGUAAAAAUAUCGUAAACUGAAACCCAUUUAAUACACCUAGCCCCUCGGACGUCGUAGCUCAGCCUAGCCCACCUUACGUGUGCUCAGAACACUCACGUUAGCGUUCAGUUGGGUAGAAUCUUCUAACACGAGGCCUUUUUAAUAAUGAAGUGUUGAAUGUCUGGUGUCAUUUGUCAGAUACCCUACUGCAAAACAGUAUAUACAGGUCGUACGGGUGCAGGGUGGUUGGUCACUGUAUUGGGACCGUUCACCCCUCACGAUCCCGGGGCUGACGUAGCUGCGGCCAUCAGUGGCCUGCAUCACAGGUGAGGAUUGUACGCACAUCACCAGCUCCGGAAAGGAUCCAAGUCCGGAAUUUGACGUAUGGUUUCUGCUGAAUGCGCAUUGCUUUCGCACCAUGGCGGAGUCAAACCGUGAGCUUCCGAGGGCAAGACCGUGGAAGUGCCUUACAAAGGGGAUGUAGAAAACACUAUUCGGGAUAUUCUUGGGGGACUGAGGUCCACGUGCACUUACGUGGGGGCCGCCAAACUCAAGGAGCUCAGCAGGAGGGCGACG